GCGCCGGUGGUGUAAUGGCGUAGAGCGUUCGCGCCCGGUCAGAGGGAGGUGCGGGUUCGAGUCCCGCCUGGCGCU
Molecule: non-coding RNA, 75 nt
Organism: Heligmosomoides polygyrus
Lineage: Eukaryota; Metazoa; Nematoda; Chromadorea; Rhabditida; Heligmosomidae
Source: Rfam